Molecule: long non-coding RNA, 1293 nt
Filed under: Lepidothrix coronata (blue-crowned manakin)
Lineage: Eukaryota; Metazoa; Chordata; Aves; Passeriformes; Pipridae
Description: lncRNA (ENSLCOG00000005179.1)
Source: RNAcentral
UAGUUUGGGGGGCCGGGGGUGAGAGGUGCCGGCAGUGGCGCGGAGCAGCUGCUUGUGCAUUCGCUGCAUGCCUGACUGCAGAACCGAGUUGCAUAAGGAGAAGGGAGAGGAGGGUUGCACGGAAAAGGGAAAUUUCCAAGAAAAGAGGGAUCUGCGGCAAUAUCUGCACCUCGGGGGAUGAAGAGAGGAACCAACAGGCAUAAAUGGCCUGGAGACGGCUGAAAUCUUCGCCGAGGAGAUUGGCACCGCGGGGUUAUUUUCCACCUGCCUCCCCUACCCAUUUCUGUAAUCCUGGCUCAAAGUAGACAAGUCGAGUUGGAGCUGAAGAAGGGAGGUUAGAGGGGUUUUUAUUUCAUUUGGGAGGGGAGAAACAAAAAAAAAAAAGGAAGCAAAAAUGAGAGGUUGGUUGUGCCUCCCCGGGUUGAGCAUCUCCGUGGCGCGAGGCAAUGCAGGAUGAUCCAGAGGAGCACUCGCCGGGAGCAGGGAUGUGAGGAUCCGGCACCCACCGGGACACGAGCCUCAGCAUUCCCAGGAGAAAUUUCACCCGGCGGAGUCGAAUUCCCACGGGGGCGAUGCCACACCUCCCGAGGACACUGGAGACAUCGGGUUUUGCUGAGCUUAGCAGCUUUUCACCGUCGUACCAAAGGCAUCAGACAGACGCUCAUCUGCCCUGAAGUGCAUAUCUGCAACAGCUCCCGGGAAGACUCUGUCUCUCUGUCUCUCUGUCUCUCUUUUCUCUCUCUCUCCAGUCCAAACCAUUACAAGACCUGACUUCCACCAUCUGGGAAUUUAACCCCUCUUAUGUCCCUUCUCCUUUUUCUACGAUGACUCACCAUUAUUUUUAACUUUGAAGAGAGAGGAAAUUAUGGGGAUCUUGGAAGCCUGUAUUUCUCUCUAGGAUUUCCCCGGGGUCAGAUAAUCGGUGUUACUAAGAGACUAAGAUUUGGCUUCUCCAGGUAAUGUGAUUUGUUUUCUGUGUGCCAUGGUGGUUUGCAAAGGAUGACAGGAGCCGGGACACCAGCGGCCGAGGAGGGGGACUGCGGUGGUCCACGGGGAAUCGCUGGCUCCGCAUUCCAGAGCUUGGCUGCAGGCAGGGAGGGCAGCAUGUCGCCGAGCCGCUGCUUCGUGGCUAGGGCAAGAGGAUUGGGAAGGUGUUAAAAGCCGAGUUCGAGUUUUUCUGGAGGGUCGAUUGCCUGAGAUCGCACGGUUAAAUGUUAAUUAACCCUUCACUGCAUGCUUGGGAAUGAGCUGAGCCCGGCACCCCCUGGGGUCCCCUUGCCACUUUAGGGCUGG